CCAGUGGAAUUAAUUGGCCUGCCUGGCUACCUUAACCCCUUUCAAUCCUGUGUGGGGCAGAUGCUGCAUCACAGAGUCAAAACUCACUCUCUAUAGAUGUCAGUGGGAAAAGCAGGCAACCUUAUUCUGAGCACUUCAGGGAGAAGCUUGUAGAUAACUUCAGCACCUCCUGCACCGAAGAUGGGAAGUAGUUGGUCCCAGUGACAGCUGGUGAGGUGGCGAGCAGGAGGAGCGGCUGGCGAGGCGGACAGGUGGCAUAGCGAGCGAGCAACUGGCAGAGAGACGGAUUGAGCAGUCGGCGGGGCAGCUGGCAGAGAGGGGCUGCGGAGGAGGACACUGCCCAACUUACCUGGGAGGCUGAGGCAACGGCAUGUGGCUAAAAGCAUCACGACAUCCCUUUGGACCCAAGACCUAGAGAUGCCUUUGACUAGCCAGUCAUCGAGGUACGGAUAGAUCUGGACACCCCGACAUCUGAGGGCUUGCCAGUCAAAGGGGAGAUCUUGCAUUGACUGCUGAGCCUCCAUGGACAAACCAGAGAGAAGCAGUCAGGAUGCCUGGCAGAUAGCGACAGCCGAGGCCAUGGUUCAGGCGGCAGCAUCCGCCGCAACCGACACCGCCUGGGAGGUCGCCCUGGCCGCAGUCUUGCCCUCCUCUAUGAUCUCCUGGAACUCCUUCCUAGAAGCCUCAGGAAGGGAGCCCUCAAACGUGGCCAUUGCUUGCCACAUGUUGAAGUCAUAGCAUCCCAGGAGGGCCUGAUGGUUGGCCACCCUCAACUGGAGACUAGAGGACAAAUAAACUU
This is a long non-coding RNA of Dermochelys coriacea (leatherback sea turtle), 799 nucleotides long. RefSeq lists it as uncharacterized. The transcript has 5 exons. The record is from RefSeq and is a predicted model, not a curated record. Lineage: Eukaryota; Metazoa; Chordata; Testudines; Dermochelyidae.